Molecule: long non-coding RNA, 274 nt
Organism: Oncorhynchus keta (chum salmon)
Lineage: Eukaryota; Metazoa; Chordata; Actinopteri; Salmoniformes; Salmonidae
Exons: 3
Source: RefSeq, a predicted model, not a curated record
AGGUGAUUAAACAGCCAGGUCUCUCUCUCUACAGGUGAUUAAACAGCCAGGUCUCUCUCUACAGGUGAUUAAACAGCCAGGUCUCUCUCUGCAGGUGAUUAAACAGCCAGGUCUCUCUCUCUGCAGGUGAUUAAACAGCCAGGUCUCUCUCUCUACAGGUGAUUAAACAGCCAGGUCUCUCUCUACAGGUGAUUAAACAGCCAGGUCUCUCUCUGCAGGUGAUUAAACAGCCAGGUCUCUCUCUCUGCAGGUGAUUAAACAGCCAGGUCUCUCU